RNAcentral lists this ribosomal RNA (301 nucleotides) under uncultured bacterium. RNAcentral's name for it is "partial 16S ribosomal RNA". It matches the Rfam family "Bacterial small subunit ribosomal RNA", at positions 509 to 809 of the family's 1533-position model. The record is from RNAcentral.
CAGCCGCCGCGGUAAUACGAGGGGGGCAAGCGUUGUUCGGAUUUAUUGGGCGUAAAGGGUGCGUAGGCGGUUUGGCAAGUCUUGUGUGAAAUCUAUGGGCUCAACCCAUAGCCUGCACGAGAAACUACCGGGCUUGAGUAGUGGAGAGGUGAGUGGAAUUUCCAGUGUAGCGGUGAAAUGCGUAGAUAUCGGAAGGAACACCUGUGGCGAAAGCGGCUCACUGGACACUAACUGACGCUGAUGCACGAAAGCUAGGGGAGCAAACAGGAUUAGAGACCCCUGUAGUCCUGUCUCUUAUACA